This 202-nucleotide long non-coding RNA is filed under the name Mytilus galloprovincialis (Mediterranean mussel). Lineage: Eukaryota; Metazoa; Mollusca; Bivalvia; Mytilida; Mytilidae. The record is from RNAcentral.
CUUGAAUUUAUAUUAUAAACAACACAAGUUAACAGUUUUAACAGUGUUAUCAUGAUACGUGAUAUGUCUGUCAUUUUUCGGAUUUUUGAUCGAAAGUAAACCGUUUCAGUAUUUGUUUUAUUUUUUUUUUCGUGUGGCCGUCCGUCUGUUAUUCAGUAUUGAGGGGGUCAGUAUUCGUAUGAGAACACAUAUGAAACUUUGC